GAUAUCAUGAGCAUUUCUUGAUGAUAGUGCACUAUAUAUUCCAAGUUAUAAAUAGGACACACUGGCUUUAUAGGUCGUAACAAUUCCAUCUUUCUUGCAUUACAAAGUUGUUUUUGGUUCUUUCUUCAAUAUAUACCUCUCCAAUGGUGAUUGUUGAUAGCAAGAAACCUGGGGUUUCCGAGCUGGUUAUCCCCAAGGACCAGAUUGUCAUCAACUCCCAUGUUUGUGAACCGCGUGAGGGGGACGACGACGACGACGACGACGGGGUGGAUGUAGCGCCUGCUGCAUAAUUAACUACAUAAUUGGCAUCAUGGACAUGAGAGGAUUCUUGAGCUCAUGUCGACGUUGGCACACAGCCAGCAUAUAUAGAUCAGUCCACGAAGAUGCUUCCUUAGCUUGGCAAUUACGGGAUGGCUGGCCAUUUAUCAAGUUCUUCCAUCUAUCUCCUACAAAUACUAGGGAUUUCUUGUUUAGUUAUCAAGAAAAUACACCUUGCUAUUAAUUUUGGAAAACUAGGGUUUUUUGGAGAUAUUGGGGCCGGGUGACGGCGGACCAACGCUUGGCUGUACUGGCGGAACCCUAAACUUCUACUCCAUAAUAAUUAAUCUCCUGAAUUUUCCACAUGUUGAUGAGCAUGUUACAAAUAAAUCCAUCUUUUUUUUUA
This is a long non-coding RNA of Populus nigra (black poplar), 664 nucleotides long. RefSeq lists it as uncharacterized. The record is from RefSeq and is a predicted model, not a curated record. NCBI's taxonomy places the organism in Eukaryota, Viridiplantae, Streptophyta, Magnoliopsida, Malpighiales, Salicaceae. The transcript has 2 exons.